UAGCUCAGUCGGUUGAGCGUGGCGCUAACGAUGCCAAGAUCGCAGGUUCGAUUCCCGC
This 58-nucleotide transfer RNA is filed under the name Apaloderma vittatum (bar-tailed trogon). It matches the Rfam family "tRNA", at positions 8 to 63 of the family's 71-position model. From Rfam's summary of the family: Transfer RNA (tRNA) molecules are approximately 80 nucleotides in length. Their secondary structure includes four short double-helical elements and three loops (D, anti-codon, and T loops). The record is from Rfam by way of RNAcentral. Lineage: Eukaryota; Metazoa; Chordata; Aves; Trogoniformes; Trogonidae.